This 292-nucleotide ribosomal RNA is filed under the name uncultured bacterium. RNAcentral's name for it is "partial 16S ribosomal RNA". It matches the Rfam family "Bacterial small subunit ribosomal RNA", at positions 505 to 796 of the family's 1533-position model. The record is from RNAcentral.
GUGUCAGCAGCCGCGGUAAUACGAAGGGGGCUAGCGUUGUUCGGAAUUACUGGGCGUAAAGGGCGCGUAGGCGGUCUGAUAAGUUAGGUGUGAAAUUCCCGGGCUUAACCUGGGGGCUGCACUUAAUACUGUUGGGCUUGAAUUCGGGAGAGGAUAGUGGAAUUCCCAGUGUAGAGGUGAAAUUCGUAGAUAUUGGGAAGAACACCAGUGGCGAAGGCGACUAUCUGGACCGACAUUGACGCUGAGGCGCGAAAGCGUGGGGAGCAAACAGGAUUAGAUACCCCGGUAGUCC